ACGCUGACCACACAAGCUCAUCCCCUCCCCUCUCCACCCACACAGACGCAUCCUUUUGUUUUUCCUCUAGCUUCAUCGCCUAUCGACCAUCAUCGUGCUUUUCCAUCCUCCUCUCCGCGCAGACCCUCUCUCCCUCUCUCUCUGUGUUGCCGCUGUCCUUCCACCUCUGCUCACCGCUCUCUCUUCUUUCUGCACCUUCGCCACCAUGUCCGCUGUCUGGGCCCAGGUGAGGCAGACGGUGGAGUCCGAGUGGGAUAAGACGAUCGUACCGGCCAUCUCGGCCUACAUCGAGGUGCCGAACCAGAGCCCGCAGUUCGAUCCGGAGUGGGCCACCAAUGGCCUGCAGGAGAAAGCCUUUGGCAUCCUCAUUGAUUGGAUGAAUGCGCAGAACGUGCAGGGGCUCACGUACGACUUUAUCACCGCGGAUGGCCGCACGCCGUUCCUCCUCGUCGAGAUCGCCGGCACCGAGCCGACCAAGAACACGGUGCUUAUGUACGGCCACAUGGACAAGCAGCCGCCUCUCCGCCCGUGGGCGGAUGGUCUCGACCCCCACAAGGCGGUCGUGCGCGAUGGCAAGCUGUACGGCCGCGGUGGCGCCGAUGACGGCUACGCGCUCUUUGCCGCCGUCACCGCCAUCUCGUCGCUGCAGCGCCACGGCAUCCCGCACGGCCGUGUCGUGAUCACGAUCGAGGCCGGCGAGGAGUCCGGCAGCCCGGACCUGGGCUACUACAUGGAGCGCUGCAAGGAGCGCAUCGGCAAGGUGGACCUCAUGGUGUGCCUGGACAGCGGCAGCAUGAACUACUCGCAGGUGUGGCUCACGACGUCGCUGCGCGGCGUUGCGAUCGGCGAGCUGACGGUGCAGACACUGACGGAGAGCAUGCACAGUGGCGUCGCCGGCGGCGUUGUGCCGGACACGUUCCGCAUCACGCGCGAGCUCCUCAGCCGCAUCGAGGACUGCAAGACGGGCGAGGUGACGAUCCCGGAGGCCCACUGCGAGAUCCCGCCCUACGCGGCCAAGGCGGCGGAGGCGAUGAAGGCGGUGCCGUUCAAGGAGCAGUUUGCGAUGGCGGCGGGCGUGGCGACGGUGCCUGGCGACAACGUCGAGCUGGCGAUUCAGAACUUUUGGAAGCCGAGCCUCACCGUGACGGGCGCCAACCUGCCGGACCCGCAGAUCGCCGGCAACGUCAUCCGCACCCACACGACGGUGAAGCUUUCCAUGCGCCUGCCCCCCCUGGUGAAGGCCGAGGCUGCACUGCAGGCGAUGAAGCGCAUCCUGGAGGCAGACCCGCCGUACGGCGCCAAGGUGACCUUCAAGAGCGUGGGCGCCGGCAACGGCUGUGCUGCGCCGGAGCUGAAGCCGUGGCUGCGGGAGGUGCUGCACGAGGGCAGCACCGAGGCCUUCGGCAACACGUACGCGUGCCAGGGCAUGGGUGGCGCCAUCCCGUUCAUCGGCAUGCUCAUCGACAUGUAUCCAGAGGCGCAGUUCGUCGUGACGGGUCUCCUCGGCCCGCAGAGCAACGCGCACGGGCCGAACGAGUUCCUGCACAUCCCGUACGCUAAGGGGUUGACGUACAGCAUCGCGCGCGUCGUGGCGGCGCACCUCGACAACACGCCCAAGUGAGGCAACGCGCCACGUGCCGGGGGCGGCAAAAGAGGGCUGCAGGGGAAGCGACGAGAGGAGCACCGGGCGUGAUGGGCCAGAGAGGAGGGAUGGGGGAGGCGAGAAGGCCCCCGUGGCGACCGUCAAGCCCCAGCCCCUUCCCAUCGCACCUCCUCGCAUCCUGCUGCUGCUACUGGUGCUACGCUGUUUCUCUCGUCGCUGCCCGUGGGCAUUUCGCUGGUGCUUCCUCCUUCGCGCACUUUUUCUUUCGACCCACGCAACGCGCCACGGGAGAACUGAGCGGCCGGUGGAGGAGCAGCGGGGUGUGGGGGUGGGGGGUGCGAGGCGGAGCCGACAGGGCGCGGACUCGGGUGAGCGCGUGCUUGACCGUUCUGGCGUGGGAGGGGAGGUCCUCAUACGCUCCCCUGCUGCGUUCCCUUCCCUCUCUUCUGCACUUUACCCCCGCACACCCCACAUCGGCUACUUUCCCGUGUUGCCCGGUGCCGUCCAGCGGGACGGUCGUCUGUGCCCCUCGCCCGCCCUUGUCGAGUUAGGCCGUGACGCCUCCUCUUCUGUUUUUUGGGCGGCAGUGCGAGCGUUUCCUCUUUCUCUGCGCGCUUCCACCUGCUUGGAUGUGGUGGUGGUGAUGGUGCGCGCACAUGCAGAACUGCUCGGCGUGUUGGCACCGCUACGGAGCGGCAGCAUACGACCGAGGUCACCACCCGCGAAGGUCGAGCUGCGUAUUUCCUCUUCAGGGUUUUUUUUUCGCGUAGAUGUGCAUGCGCCAAUGUCUCGUAUCGACGCAGAGUUUCACGGACACGCUAAAGGAGGGGUUGACGUAUUCCAUGCGCAGCGAGGUUCAUUGGCGCCCAAAUACGGUUUCUGCUGGCUGUGUGGAAUGCAGAAGUGUUUGGAAGGAACCACAUCCGCAAUCCCUGUGAUGUCGGGAGAUACCUCAGAGCGUGGCAUCUCACUGUUCAGUACACCGACGCUCGGCGGAAAAGCCACGUAUCCCCAUACCUCACCCUGCCAAUGCCGAGCCACCUCUGGUGGUGGCAUGGCCUAGUGCCUACGACGUAGCGGGGCCAGAGCAACCUGCGAUGGCGAAAACGCUUGUGCCAUCCACGUGAUGGGCAAGGUGUCAGCGUGGCUGUGAGGCGGGCGGGCAGAGUGUGAGGCAGCGGCCACGCUCAGGUGACUGAGUCGGUGCACGGCUGUAACGCGUGUGUGCAGGGCUGCUUCGCACCACGCGAUGGGGGCCUGUGACCGGCGUGGAGGGGGUGUAGAGUUGGGGGGGCGGCUAAGCCGUGUUGAAUGGCGGAGAAGCGGGCACAGUACAAGACGCGAAAAAACUCUGGUAGGCUCGCUUCAAGGUGUCCCCUCUUUAUGAAGCUGCUGUGAGUAGCGGGUGUAUCCUGGAGCUGCGUGAUCACCCAUUCGUUGCCGGUGUCUCGUGCCUGUGGUGUGCGUCUCCAGGCUUCACGAUAUCACGCGCCCUUCCCUCUUUCUCUUAUUGUUCCACCCAUCGGCUCUCUUCUUAUGUCUCUUCUGGGGGGCUGCGCACUGAGGCAUAGUCUCACGCUCUCACUUCCAGGCUUGCUGAAGUGUCUUCGCCGGCGCGAGUGCUACCCAAGAGGUGUGGUACGGUGAUGCCCGGAGACGCAGACUUUAGUGUCCUUACGGAUCCUACCGCUUCCGAGACGCGUUCGUGAGCGCAGGGCGAACUGAAAAACGCAGCUCAAGGAGGCGUCCGAGGAAGAAGAAGCGCCAUGGGCUUCACCUUUUCAUAUAUACAUGUGUAAUUUUCCUUUCUUUGUGAUGUCAGCUCGCUCGCUGAAGAAAAGGGGCGUGGGUGCGCAGGCUUUCCCUCCUUUGUCGACGGACGAAUGGCGGACUUCUGCCUUGCUGCUCGUGCCCGCCUCUGUUUUCGAAGACAGGUGUUUCCUUGCCCUCGCUCUUACUCUCCCUCUCUUGCGUCUUGUAUUCAUGUUCCGCUUCCUUUUUUUUUUUUGAGAAGGCUUCGGUGCCGCGGCACACACACACGCACUCCUGGUCGGACCCACACCCCGAAAGAGAGCAGUUUCGCCUCCUCCUCUUCCUGACCUCGAACAGCGGUGCCCAGAGAUUCGAUACGGUCUUACCCGCUCGCCCUUCUCCCCCCAUCCUUCCUUCUGUUGCCCACAUAGUCUGGCGGAAGUUGAAGGGCGAGUGAGAGGGGAAGGAGAAGUGGUCGACAGUCAAGGGAAGCUCUUUGUGCUUCUUCCGUCAUUCUCGUUCGUGGGUGCCGCGCCGGCUGCUGUGUAGCCGUGCCAUGGUGUUUGUGAAGAAACGCUCUGCUCCCUCCCCUCCUCUUUCUCUCUCUCGCUCUCUCGAUCUCGUGCCCCAGAAGCGUCUUCGACGCCCUCACGGCCGAAAUUCGGAGCCUCGUCGGCGUCAGGGAAGCUGCUGAGGACGCGUUCAAACGGUGAAG
Molecule: unclassified non-coding RNA, 4070 nt
Filed under: Leishmania donovani
Lineage: Eukaryota; Euglenozoa; Kinetoplastea; Trypanosomatida; Trypanosomatidae
Description: gene:LdHU3.31.3490(CDS-product:peptidase_m20/m25/ m40_family-like_protein)
Source: RNAcentral